RNAcentral lists this ribosomal RNA (506 nucleotides) under Coccinella septempunctata (seven-spotted ladybird). RNAcentral describes it as "partial 16S ribosomal RNA". The stretch from base 380 to 506 matches the Rfam family "Bacterial large subunit ribosomal RNA", at positions 2473 to 2600 of the family's 2925-position model. Lineage: Eukaryota; Metazoa; Arthropoda; Insecta; Coleoptera; Coccinellidae. The record is from RNAcentral.
UUUUUGAAAAUAAUUUAAAGUAGGGCCUGCCCMCUGAAGUAUUAAAGGGCCGCAGUAUUUUGACUGUGCAAAGGUAGCAUAAUCAUUAGUUUUUUAAUUGAAAGCUUGUAUGAAUGGUUUGAUGAGAAAAUAACUUUCUAUAUUUAAAUUUUUAAAAAUUUUAUUUUUAAGUUAAAAAGCUUAAAUUUUUUUAAUAGACGAGAAGACCCUAUAGAGUUUUAUUAUAUUAAUUUUUUAAAUUUUUAGAAUUUAAAAAUUUUAAUUUUUAAUAUAAUUUGGUUGGGGUGACUGAAAAAUUAAAUAAACUUUUUUUAUAUUAUUACAUAGAUUUAUGAAUAUUUGAUCCAUAAAAAUGAUUAAAAGAAUAAAUUACCUUAGGGAUAACAGCGUUAUUUUUUUUUAGAGUUCAAAUCGAAAAAAGAGAUUGCGACCUCGAUGUUGGAUUAAAGUAAAUUUUAGGUGUAGGAGCUUAAAAAUUUGGUCUGUUCGACCAUUAAAACUUUACA